CUUCCAUAUAAUUGUUUUAGUACUCUAGUAAAAUGCCUCCUAUCAGCAACUACACUCAUGAUUCUCUUCUCUCCUCAGGAAUCAUGCUAUGCUAUUCUAUUCUGGAGCAGCUGGGUAGCUCAGUCAAUUGAGAGCCAGACCUAGAGACAGGAGGUCCUAGUUUCUAAUUUGGCCUCAGAAACUUCCUAGCUGUGUGACCCUGGACAAGUCACCUAACCCCCAUUGUCUGGCUCUUACCACUCUUCUACUUCACAGUAUUGACUCUAAGACACAAAGUUCAAAUAAGUGUGAACCCUCAGGACCAUUGAAAAGAAGAGUGUGGUUGGCAUUUUUUAGACUUGACAUAUUUCUCGACCUAUAGAAGACCAAGACCUCUGGUACAGGAGGAAAGAGAUGAGCUUGUCUUGAAGGUGCUAUUUGUUGUAAUUAUUGCUUUCCAUUCUUGCUUUGAAUAGAAAAUGUAUUCUUAGGGUAGAUGAAAAUAUGUCUAUGUGUCGGGGUUUCCCUUUUGGGUUCACAGAGAAUUAUAAUGGCCAUGGAUUUGGGCUAAGUAACUAAAAACACAUAAUUCAUUUUGAUAAAUUCUAUUACCAUCUAUAGAAGGAAGUUUUCUUUAUAAAUAUUUGGAUCAUAUUAAAGACUAUAGAGAUUUGAAACUACUCUCAUACUUUUCUGAAUAUGCAACUACCAAUUCUAUAUCUCACUUUUAAAUUACUACUAAGAGGAUCAUCAAACUAUUGCUCUUAUUGCAUCUGCUAAUGAAUUUUACAUGAUCUUAAGACAUUUGUGAGAAAUUCUUUUUGAGCAAAGUAUCUUUAAAGCUAAAUCAUAUAAUUCAGUUAAUUCUUUUUUCUCUAAGAAAAUGCAUGGGAGUUUUUGUAUACUUGAAGUUUUUCAUUAAAAUUAUAUAAAUAUAAAGAUUUGGC
Molecule: long non-coding RNA, 926 nt
Filed under: Monodelphis domestica (gray short-tailed opossum)
Lineage: Eukaryota; Metazoa; Chordata; Mammalia; Didelphimorphia; Didelphidae
Description: lncRNA (ENSMODG00000037269.1)
Source: RNAcentral